Molecule: ribosomal RNA, 330 nt
Filed under: uncultured bacterium
Lineage: Bacteria
Description: bacterial SSU rRNA
Rfam family: Bacterial small subunit ribosomal RNA
Source: RNAcentral
UGUGUAGGCGGUUCUCUAAGUUUGGUGUGAAAUCUCCCGGCUCAACUGGGAGGGUGCGCCGAAAACUGGAGGGCUAGAGUACUGGAUGGGAGAGUGGAAUUCCUGGUGUAGCGGUGAAAUGCGUAGAUAUCAGGAGGAACACCUGUGGUGUAGACGGCUCUCUGGACAGUAACUGACGCUGAGACACGAAAGCGUGGGUAGCAAACAGGAUUAGAUACCCUGGUAGUCCACGCCCUAAACGAUGCAUAUUUGGUGUGGGUCAUUCAUUUGAUCCGUGCCGGAGCUAACGCGUUAAAUAUGCCGCCGUGGGAGUACGGUCGCAAGGCUGAA